GAUGAACGCUGGCGGCGUGCCUAAUACAUGCAAGUCGAGCGAACAGACGAGGAGCUUGCUCCUCUGACGUUAGCGGCGGACGGGUGAGUAACACGUGGAUAACCUACCUAUAAGACUGGGAUAACUUCGUGAAACCGGAGCUAAUACCGGAUAAUAUAUUGAACCGCAUGGUUCAAUAGUGAAAGACGGUUUUGCGGUCACUUAUAGAUGGAUCCGCGCCGCAUUAGCUAGUUGGUAAGGUAACGGCUUACCAAGGCAACGAUGCGUAGCCGACCUGAGAGGGUGAUCGGCCACACUGGAACUGAGACACGGUCCAGACUCCUACGGGAGGCAGCAGUAGGGAAUCUUCCGCAAUGGGCGAAAGCCUGACGGAGCAACGCCGCGUGAGUGAUGAAGGUCUUCGGAUCGUAAAACUCUGUUAUUAGGGAAGAACAAAUGUGUAAGUAACUAUGCACGUCCUGACGGUACCUAAUCAGAAAGCCACGGCUAACUACGUG
Molecule: ribosomal RNA, 497 nt
Filed under: uncultured bacterium
Lineage: Bacteria
Description: partial 16S ribosomal RNA
Rfam family: Bacterial small subunit ribosomal RNA
Source: RNAcentral